AACGUAGGACGCAAACGUUAUCCGGAAUUACUGGGCGUAAAGCGCGCGCAGGUGGGUGAACAAGUCAUGCGUGAAAGCUCCCGGCUAAACUGGGAGAGGUCGGAUGAUACUGUUCGCCUAGAGGGUGUUAGAGGCGUGUGGAAUUCCACGUGUAGUGGUGAAAUGCGUAGAGAUGUGGAGGAACACCAGUGGCGAAGGCGGCACGCUGGGACAUCACUGACACUGAGGCGCGAAAGCAUGGGUAGCGAACGGG
RNAcentral lists this ribosomal RNA (253 nucleotides) under uncultured bacterium. RNAcentral describes it as "partial 16S ribosomal RNA". It matches the Rfam family "Bacterial small subunit ribosomal RNA", at positions 524 to 776 of the family's 1533-position model. The record is from RNAcentral.